Parasteatoda tepidariorum (common house spider) is the source of this 571-nucleotide non-coding RNA. Lineage: Eukaryota; Metazoa; Arthropoda; Arachnida; Araneae; Theridiidae. The record is from RefSeq and is a predicted model, not a curated record.
ACAAGGAAAUCUGAAACACUAUAAAUUGAAUGGAAUACAACGAUUUUUCCAGUAACAACUCAUUCAGUAAUAGAGAUACAUCCAUUUGCUGAUAAAUCCAAAAUGACUUCCAGCCGAGCCAUAUUUUUAAUUACCAUUGCUGCUGCCAUUUUCUUAGCAAAUGCAACUGAUCCAUUAGAAGAAGUGAGAAAAGCUGUAGAUGAUAUAAGUACCAAACUUGUCAAAGCAUAUGGUCAGGAAAAAGUUGAUAAAGUGAAAGAGAUUUUAUCAGGAACUGGAGAAACAAUCUCUAACAUGCUAAGCGAAAAAUUGAAAAAAAUUCAAGAAAUUUUGGGAUUCCCAGGCGGCAGUGAAGCAGUGGUUACUGCUAUUAACGAUUUGAAAGAAAGAGUUCGAGUCGUUUUUAAAGCUGCCAGAAAAGGAGCCAUGAAAGGAGUUAAAAAACUAGGCAAAAAAAUGGACAAACAGUGAAGUAGAAGGAAAUGGAAUUUCUCUCUGGAGCAUGCAUGAAAUUUUUGGUUGUUGUAAUUUCACAAUUUAGAAUUAGAAAUAAAAAAAAACGUUAAUUGUA